Molecule: ribosomal RNA, 231 nt
Filed under: uncultured bacterium
Lineage: Bacteria
Description: partial 16S ribosomal RNA
Rfam family: Bacterial small subunit ribosomal RNA
Source: RNAcentral
AGUAACACGUGGGCAACCAACCCCUCACAUCGGGAUACCCCGGGGAAACUCGGAUCAAUACCGGAUAAUGCGCGACGCUGUUGGGCGUCGCACCAAAGGUAGCUUCGGCCUCUGGUGAGGGACGGGCCCGCGGCCCAUUAGCUUGUUGGUGGGGUAAUGGCCUACCAAGGCAACGAUGGGUAGCUGGUCUGAGAGGAUGAUCAGCCACACUGGGACUGAGAUACGGCCCAG